Molecule: ribosomal RNA, 460 nt
Filed under: uncultured bacterium
Lineage: Bacteria
Description: partial 16S ribosomal RNA
Rfam family: Bacterial small subunit ribosomal RNA
Source: RNAcentral
CCUACGGGGGGCAACAGUGAGGAAUAUUGGUCAAUGGGCGCGAGCCUGAACCAGCCAAGUCGCGUGAAGGAUGACUGCCCUAUGGGUUGUAAACUUCUUUUGUAAGGGAGUAAAGUGAGGCACGCGUGCCUUUCUGUAUGUACUUUAUGAAUAAGGAUCGGCUAACUCCGUGCCAGCAGCCGCGGUAAUACGGAGGAUCCGAGCGUUAUCCGGAUUUAUUGGGUUUAAAGGGAGCGUAGGGGGGUUGUUAAGUUAGUUGUGAAAGUUUGCGGCUCAACCGGAGAAUUGCAAUUGAUACUGGUAGCCGUGAGUGUAGUUGAGGUAGGCGGAAUGCGUGGUGUAGCGGUGAAAUGCUUAGAUAUCACGAAGAACGCCGAUUGCGAAGGCAGCUUACUAAACUGCCACUGACAUUGAGGCACGAAAGUGUGGGGAUCAAACAGGAUUAGAUACCCGUGUAGUC